Molecule: ribosomal RNA, 253 nt
Filed under: uncultured bacterium
Lineage: Bacteria
Description: partial 16S ribosomal RNA
Rfam family: Bacterial small subunit ribosomal RNA
Source: RNAcentral
UACGGAGGGGGCUAGCGUUAUUCGGAAUUAUUGGGCGUAAAGGGCGCGUAGGCGGCCCGGUAAGUCAAAGGUGAAAUCCCUCGGCUCAACUGAGGAACUGCCUUUGAAACUGCCGGGCUCGAGGCCGGGAGGGGGUAGCGGAAUUCCCAGUGUAGCGGUGAAAUGCGUAGAUAUUGGGAGGAACACCGGUGGCGAAGGCGGCUACCUGGACCGGUUCUGACGCUGAUGCGCGAAAGCGUGGGUAGCAAACAGG